AGGCAGUGCGGCGUGCUAUACAUGCAGUCGAGCGAAUGGAUUAAGAGCUUGCUCUUAUGAAGUUAGCGGCGGACGGGUGAGUAACACGUGGGUAACCUGCCCAUAAGACUGGGAUAACUCCGGGAAACCGGGGCUAAUACCGGAUAACAUUUUGAACCGCAUGGUUCGAAAUUGAAAGGCGGCUUCGGCUGUCACUUAUGGAUGGACCCGCGUCGCAUUAGCUAGUUGGUGAGGUAACGGCUCACCAAGGCAACGAUGCGUAGCCGACCUGAGAGGGUGAUCGGCCACACUGGGACUGAGACACGGCCCAGACUCCUACGGGAGGCAGCAGUAGGGAAUCUUCCGCAAUGGACGAAAGUCUGACGGAGCAACGCCGCGUGAGUGAUGAAGGCUUUCGGGU
Molecule: ribosomal RNA, 400 nt
Filed under: Bacillus anthracis (anthrax bacterium)
Lineage: Bacteria; Bacillati; Bacillota; Bacilli; Caryophanales; Bacillaceae
Description: bacterial SSU rRNA
Rfam family: Bacterial small subunit ribosomal RNA
Source: RNAcentral